This 22-nucleotide microRNA is filed under the name Gallus gallus (chicken). Its description in RNAcentral is "gga-miR-6642-5p". Lineage: Eukaryota; Metazoa; Chordata; Aves; Galliformes; Phasianidae. The record is from miRBase by way of RNAcentral.
UUCCCCGACGGCCGAGCGGGCC